UACGUAGGUGGCAAGCGUUGUCCGGAAUUAUUGGGUGUAAAGGGCGUGUAGGCGGGGAAAUAAGUCAGAUGUGAAAUUCCAAGGCUCAACCAUGGAACUGCAACUGAUACUGUAUCUCUUGAGUACUGGAGAGGAAAGCGGAAUUCCUAGUGUAGCGGUGAAAUGCGUAGAUAUUAGGAGGAACACCAGUGGCGAAGGCGGCUUUCUGGACAGUAACUGACGCUAAGGCGCGAAAGCGUGGGGAG
RNAcentral lists this ribosomal RNA (245 nucleotides) under uncultured bacterium. RNAcentral describes it as "partial 16S ribosomal RNA". It matches the Rfam family "Bacterial small subunit ribosomal RNA", at positions 524 to 768 of the family's 1533-position model. The record is from RNAcentral.